AGAGGUCCCGCCUGCCGUGUGACUUAAAGUUUAACGGCCGCGGUAUUUUGACCGUGCGAAGGUAGCGCAAUCACUUGUCUUUUAAAUGGAGACCUGUAUGAAUGGCACAACGAGGGCUUAACUGUCUCCUCUUUCCAGUCAAUGAAAUUAAUCUUCCCGUGCAGAAGCGGGAAUAUACUCAUAAGACGAGAAGACCCUAUGGAGCUUUAGACACUAAGACGAAUCAUGUUAAGUACCUCUAAAUAAAGAACCAAACCAGAUGAACCUCGCCCUAUAUGUCUUUGGUUGGGGCGACCGCGGGGAAAUACAAAACCCCCACGUGGAAUGGGAACACCCCUCCUACAACUCAGAGCUCCCGCUCUAAUAAACAGAACUUCUGACCAAUCAGAUCCGGCAAAGCCGAUCAACGGACCGAGUUACCCUAGGGAUAACAGCGCAAUCCCCUUCUAGAGCCCAUAUCGACAAGGGGGUUUACGACCUCGAUGUUGGAUCAGGACAUCCUAAUGGUGCAGCCGCUAU
This 519-nucleotide ribosomal RNA is filed under the name Zebrasoma flavescens (yellow tang). RNAcentral describes it as "partial large subunit ribosomal RNA". It matches the Rfam family "Bacterial large subunit ribosomal RNA", at positions 1848 to 2565 of the family's 2925-position model. Lineage: Eukaryota; Metazoa; Chordata; Actinopteri; Acanthuriformes; Acanthuridae. The record is from RNAcentral.